AUUUGAGUCUGUCGGCCAGGGGAAUUCCUGGCAGAGUGAUUUUUGAGACUACAGGACUGAAUCACAUUGCCAGGGAUUUCCAAUGGCUGCCAUGAAU
Molecule: non-coding RNA, 97 nt
Organism: Oryzias latipes (Japanese medaka)
Lineage: Eukaryota; Metazoa; Chordata; Actinopteri; Beloniformes; Adrianichthyidae
Gene: mir23a-1
Product: microRNA mir-23a-1
Source: RefSeq, marked provisional